RNAcentral lists this unclassified non-coding RNA (251 nucleotides) under uncultured fungus. RNAcentral describes it as "partial contains 5.8S ribosomal RNA, internal transcribed spacer 2, and large subunit ribosomal RNA". The stretch from base 1 to 52 matches the Rfam family "5.8S ribosomal RNA", at positions 103 to 154 of the family's 154-position model. RNAcentral also lists the same sequence under 1 other name. Lineage: Eukaryota; Fungi. The record is from RNAcentral.
AACGCACCUUGCGCCCUUUGGUAUUCCGAAGGGCAUGCCUGUUUGAGUGUCAUGAAAACCUCAUCCCAUCGGGUUUCCGAUGACGAUGGAUCUGGGUGUUGCCGUCCUGGCUCGCCUUAAAAGUGUUAGCGGUUCCGAGGUUGAAUCUGGCGUAAUAAGUUUCGCUGGCCAAGACCGGAGGCUGCUCAUAACCCGUCUUCUGACAUUUUUGCUCUGACCUCAAAUCAGGUAGGACUACCCGCUGAACUUAA